Molecule: long non-coding RNA, 383 nt
Organism: Peromyscus eremicus (cactus mouse)
Lineage: Eukaryota; Metazoa; Chordata; Mammalia; Rodentia; Cricetidae
Exons: 3
Source: RefSeq, a predicted model, not a curated record
CAUGUGUACUCCGCCAGGUCCCUGGAGGGCACUGCUGUCUCUCACUUGCCCAGGCUUCAGAAGUGAGACUUUAAUCCUGGGAUUCAGACAACAAUAUGCAAAAGCAAGCAUAGGACCUGAAAUUAUCUGGGGCUGAAGGCUCCGCUGCUGUCCAUCGGUCUGCUGGCCCUGAACUCCAAGCCAUCAUGUUGUUUCAAAAGUGUGAUCUAGGCUAAAGAUCUGGCUCGGGCACCUAUGACUGCUUCCUAAUGUGUCAAAGGACUCCAAUGGGCCAUCCUGUCUACCAGGAACCUUCCAGUAAGAGGGGUGUGGUCUCUUUGCAGCCCUAGGCUAAGAACUCUAAGAGAUAACUAUAGAAGAAGGUCAAGGACCUAGAGAACUUU